RNAcentral lists this small RNA (1075 nucleotides) under Histoplasma capsulatum var. duboisii H88. Its description in RNAcentral is "Histoplasma capsulatum H88 hypothetical RNA". The record is from RNAcentral. Lineage: Eukaryota; Fungi; Ascomycota; Eurotiomycetes; Onygenales; Ajellomycetaceae.
CCAGCAGCGGAGAAGAAUGUUGUAAUAAGUGCGACUCGAUUCUCAUUAUACAGCAGUACUGCUGAUGAGUGAACCGUCCACUCACAAACCACGAUUUAGCGAUGUAUUUUUAACGAACGGCUACACGAACGGCUACCAGUUACGGUCGAGGUGCAGAUCCUUUACACACCAUUAUUACUUGUAGAGAUAUAAUCGAUUCGAUCAUUUUUGACACAGUUAAAAUCACAUCAAAACAGCCAUCUCCACGACCCCCAUUUUGAUAUACAAUCUAGACUACAGACUAAUUUCUUCGAUAUACGCCCCCAGCUUCUUCCCCUUUCGUGCUCUAAGAAAAAUGCCAGCACCGUUCACCUCAAAGCCGCAUACAUACCCACCAAGCAGGCAGCUAACGGGAACAAGCUUCGCAUCCCGUUAAGCCCAAUCCACUGACGCAAAAAACGCUCCGUCUCCGCCCUCGCCCCAACCUUGGCUAUAGGCUCCGUCUCCACCAAACUGGCCUUCUCCAACAGCUCCUUAUUGGUCUUCGUCAUUGCAAGGAUGGUGAACGGGACAAUAGACAAGGUUAGCGCCCCGGCAGCGCAAUACAGCGUGGAUGUGUUCUGACCUGCCUCACGGAGGGAUAUAGUCCCGGAACGGUCGGACCAGGCUAGGUAGAAGAAUGCGGCUGCGGUGCAGAGGGCGAUGGGCGGGUUCUGUGUUGCGCCGAGAUGAUAGACGUUUCGCCAUAGCUUUGCGAGGGUGCUGGCGGAGAGGUUGCUUUCUUGGGCGGAGGUGAGGAGGGAGGGUGCCACAUUUACACUGUAGGCGGCGAUGUUACCUGUAGAGUUGGAAUGUGCUAUUAUUAGCAUCUGGCAAAUAUUUUGGUCCUUACUCCGAGGACAUUAUGCGUGUGUGUGAGAGGGAAGUUCAAUAUGUUAUCUCUCGUACGUAGAGAGAUAAACCGAGAUAUAAGAUUCCCCUUGGGAAUUGUAUUGAUGAAUGGGUAGAUAGGUACUAUCUCUUAGCAUUAUCCAAGAUGGAGUAACUGCGUACCAGAAAGCCAAGCUGCACCGCUCAAGCCUACUACCUGCGCGAC